Sorghum bicolor (sorghum) is the source of this 753-nucleotide long non-coding RNA. RefSeq lists it as uncharacterized. The record is from RefSeq and is a predicted model, not a curated record. NCBI's taxonomy places the organism in Eukaryota, Viridiplantae, Streptophyta, Magnoliopsida, Poales, Poaceae. The transcript is spliced from 4 exons.
CUCCCAUUCAUCUACCGCAUCCCUCCUUUCCAUCCCACAUCCACGGAUCCAGCACCACCCGUAUCCUCCGUACACGUCCUCCCCCAUUCACCGCCACCGCGCCCCCUUCUUCGCGCAGCAGGGCAUAGCAGCCGCGAAGGCGCGCCCUCCCCGGCGUGGGCAGGCACAGCAAGGGCGUGACCCGACAGCUCCCCAGCGCGGCAUCCCAUGCCCCACACGCGGCCUCCCGGCGCCCCACUCGCGCGCCCGGCGGCUCCCCGGCGACCCACGCGUGCCCCCCGGCAGCUGCCCGGCGACCACGGCGUGCAAAACCAGCGGCUCCACGGCGCCCGAGUGCUAGUGUGCGUCGACCAGGACGACCAAAGGGGCAAGAAGGAUGCAAGCUGCCUGGAUUUCAACAUCUUCAUCCUAACCAAUAACGAAGUGACCAUGCAGUAGUAGUGGAAAUUCCUGCCUGAAGGCUCGUUGAUAACACCACCUUGCUGAAUGACUGUAGAAUGACAAAUAAACAAAGGUAGCACAUCUUAUGGACAACAAGCCAAUUGAAGUGCUCAGCGAUACUAAUGUUUAGUUAUUUUAGACUCCCUAGAGAUGAUUGUCAUAAAGUUCAAACUUAGUUGUUAUGAGUUAAAUUAGUUCAUUGUUUGAUAAAUGAUUGUGAGCCGUGCCAGGCCAGUUUGUUGUUUCAUAAAAUGUGACAAUGUACAACAGUGAGCUUGCUAAUACAUGAAUGAUCAAUGUUUGUUUAUAUGA